This 458-nucleotide ribosomal RNA is filed under the name uncultured bacterium. Its description in RNAcentral is "partial 16S ribosomal RNA". It matches the Rfam family "Bacterial small subunit ribosomal RNA", at positions 29 to 507 of the family's 1533-position model. The record is from RNAcentral.
AACGAACGCUGGCGGCAUGCCUAACACAUGCAAGUCGAACGAGACCUUCGGGUCUAGUGGCGCACGGGUGCGUAACGCGUGGGAACCUGCCCUUAGGUUCGGAAUAACUCCCCGAAAGGGGUGCUAAUACCGGAUAAUGUCUUCGGACCAAAGAUUUAUCGCCUUUGGAUGGGCCCGCGUUGGAUUAGCUAGUUGGUAGGGUAAAAGCCUACCAAGGCGACGAUCCAUAGCUGGUCUGAGAGGAUGAUCAACCACACUGGGACUGAGACACGGUCAAGACUCCUACGGGAGGCAGCAGUGGGGAAUAUUGGACAAUGGGGGAAAGCCUGAUCCAGCCAUAUCGCGUGGGUGCAGAAGGACUUAGGGUUGUAAAGCCCUUUUGUUGGGAAAGAAAAGCAGCAGGUUAAUACCCGGCUGUUCUGACGGUACCCAAAGAAUAAGCACCGGCUAACUUCGUG